UUUUUCCUUCGAUCUUUAUUAACAAAAUUUAUCUUUUCCUAGGAUACAAUUUUGUCUCGGCUCUUACUCAAUCUAUUCCUCCCAAUAGAAUUGAACCCGACUAAAGAACGAGCACUAAACCUAUCUCUCCUACACCUCGUGUAGUCCCAAGAGAAAACAAACACUCACCUUCUCAGCUUUUUGUUUUUCUAGCUUCGAAGUUUACAAUCACGUACAAAGAGUCUAAAGUGUUCAAAGUGGCUCGUGGCCA
RNAcentral lists this long non-coding RNA (250 nucleotides) under Capsella rubella. RNAcentral's name for it is "long non-coding RNA (CRUB_LNC003782)". Lineage: Eukaryota; Viridiplantae; Streptophyta; Magnoliopsida; Brassicales; Brassicaceae. The record is from RNAcentral.